This 460-nucleotide ribosomal RNA is filed under the name uncultured bacterium. Its description in RNAcentral is "partial 16S ribosomal RNA". It matches the Rfam family "Bacterial small subunit ribosomal RNA", at positions 338 to 795 of the family's 1533-position model. The record is from RNAcentral.
CCUACGGGGGGCAGCAGUGAGGAAUAUUGGUCAAUGGACGAGAGUCUGAACCAGCCAAGUAGCGUGAAGGAUGACUGCCCUAUGGGUUGUAAACUUCUUUUAUAUGGGAAUAAAAUGUUCCACGUGUGGGAUUUUGUAUGUACCAUAUGAAUAAGGAUCGGCUAACUCCGUGCCAGCAGCCGCGGUAAUACGGAGGAUCCGAGCGUUAUUCGGAUUUAUUGGGUUUAAAGGGAGCGUAGGUGGAUUGUUAAGUCAGUUGUGAAAGUUUGCGGCUCAACCGUAAAAUUGCAGUUGAAACUGGCAGUCUUGAGUACAGUAGAGGUGGGCGGAAUUCGUGGUGUAGCGGUGAAAUGCUUAGAUAUCACGAAGAACUCCGAUUGCGAAGGCAGUUCACUGGACUGCAACUGACACUGAGGCUCGAAAGUGUGGGUAUCAAACAGGAUUAGAUACCCGUGUAGUC